ACUUAAAAAUUGAUUUGCAGGCCCAUCCUCCUGGGUCUGUCAUAGUGCCCCAUGCCAGAGCAAGCUGUGACCUUUAACCAUUGCCUGGACUCUGCCCUUAGGCUGCCAACACUGAAGCAGGUUGCACAGUG
Molecule: small nucleolar RNA, 131 nt
Organism: Pteronotus mesoamericanus
Lineage: Eukaryota; Metazoa; Chordata; Mammalia; Chiroptera; Mormoopidae
Product: small nucleolar RNA SNORA42/SNORA80 family
Exons: 1
Source: RefSeq, a predicted model, not a curated record